Molecule: long non-coding RNA, 804 nt
Filed under: Gallus gallus (chicken)
Lineage: Eukaryota; Metazoa; Chordata; Aves; Galliformes; Phasianidae
Source: RNAcentral
GAAUUGUCAUCUGAUGCCACGGAAAACUGGAAAUCUCCAUCCUUGAAAGGGUGGAUGUAGCCAAAAAUCCUUAGCCCGUAGUUCUUCCACUUGGGUGACACCGCCAGCUUCUUCACCGUGGUGCGGGUGUGUGGAAAGAGUGGAAAAUGGAGAUUCUUCCUUAGGUGCCUCACGGCUCCUCCACACCAGUCUUCAAAAACAUGCAGGUUUGCUUUCCCCUUGUACUUCUCAUCCCAGGGCAGAGCCUGCUUGGUCAGGUUGAGUUUGGGGCGCCUGGCAGCUCGUGAGCCUCUGGAAAACCAUUCGUUCCAAUCCUGCCCAUCGUUCUGCUCCUCCUCGUGGCUCUCACUGGAGUCCUCGGCCUUCCUCUGCCGUGCCGCUGCCUGGGCCACCGCCGGCCGCCUGCCGGGGUCCAUCACCUCCCCCAGCCGCUCCCCAUCUCUGCCGUAGGUGAAGGGCAGGCGGAGGGCGCGGCCCUGGCGCACCAGGCUGAUGUGCAGGUAGGUGAACCACGCGGCCGAGGUGAGCAGCGCCAGCAGCAGCAGCAGCUUCAGCUGCUUGCGGAUCUUCUUCACCGGGAGCCGCGGCAUCACCGCCCGCCGCCGCCGCCGCGGCCCGCCGCCGGCCUAGCCCCGGCCCAUCGGGCCCCCCUCCCCCGGCCGCCCGCCGCUACGGGCCGGCGGCGGGGGGCGGCGGCGGCAGCUCGUGGCCGCCCGGUGCAUCGCCGCCGCCCCGUCGCGCCGGCAGCGGACACGGGCGGGCGGCGAAUGAAUGGAGCGGCGGCGGCGGGAGCGGAGGGAGGGG